UACGUAGGGGGCAAGCGUUGUCCGGAAUCAUUGGGCGUAAAGCGCGUGUAGGCGGUUCGAUAAGUCUGCUGUGAAAGUCCAGGGCUCAACCCUGGGAUGCCGGUGGAUACUGUCGGUCUAGAGUGCGGAAGAGGCGAGUGGAAUUCCCGGUGUAGCGGUGAAAUGCGCAGAUAUCGGGAGGAACACCAAUUGCGAAGGCAGCUCGCUGGGACGUUACUGACGCUGAGACGCGAAAGCGUGGGGAGCAAACAGG
Molecule: ribosomal RNA, 253 nt
Filed under: uncultured bacterium
Lineage: Bacteria
Description: partial 16S ribosomal RNA
Rfam family: Bacterial small subunit ribosomal RNA
Source: RNAcentral